RNAcentral lists this ribosomal RNA (226 nucleotides) under uncultured bacterium. Its description in RNAcentral is "partial 16S ribosomal RNA". It matches the Rfam family "Bacterial small subunit ribosomal RNA", at positions 538 to 763 of the family's 1533-position model. The record is from RNAcentral.
GCGUUAAUCGGCAUUACUGGGCGUAAAGCGUGCGCAGGCGGUGAUGUAAGACAGAUGUGAAAUCCCCGGGCUCAACCUGGGAACUUCAUUUGUGACUGCAUCGCAGGAGUACGGCAGAGGGGGAUGGAAUUCCGCGUGUAGCAGUGAAAUGCGUAGAUAUGCGGAGGAACACCGAUGGCGAAGGCAAUCCCCUGGGCCUGUACUGACGCUCAUGCACGAAAGCGUG